GCCUGGCUGGCUCAAUAAAGCAUGUGACUCUUGAUCUCAGGGUUGUGAGCUCAAGCCCCACGUUGGGCA
This 69-nucleotide transfer RNA is filed under the name Felis catus (domestic cat). It matches the Rfam family "tRNA". From Rfam's summary of the family: Transfer RNA (tRNA) molecules are approximately 80 nucleotides in length. Lineage: Eukaryota; Metazoa; Chordata; Mammalia; Carnivora; Felidae. The record is from Rfam by way of RNAcentral.